This is a long non-coding RNA of Gallus gallus (chicken), 1340 nucleotides long. The record is from Ensembl. Lineage: Eukaryota; Metazoa; Chordata; Aves; Galliformes; Phasianidae.
AAAAUAAAGAUCUGUGUUCACUGCUUUCCACUGGAAGGCAGAUGUUCAGCUAUUUUCAAGAAAGCAGGGCUAAUCAGAACUAUCAGUUUCUUUGGAAGACAAACACCAUCGCUCUAAAUGCCCACCCUUCCUCUUUCAUUCCCCUACCUUUUAUUGUUGAACAUGAUGCCAUGUGGCAUGAAAAAACCCUCUCAACUGCUUGGGUUGGCUGUCCUGGAUGAAUCCCCUCCCAUCAUCUUGUGCAUCUGCAGCUCCUUGCUGGUUGGACAGUACGACAAACAGAAGGUCUUGCUGUGUAAGCACUGUUCAGAAAUAGAUAAAACAUUGGUGUGUUAACAACAUUACUGACAUCACAAAUCCAAAACAUAGCACCAUAUGAACUGCUAGGAAGAAAGUUAACUCUAUCCCAACCAAAAUCAAUAUGAUACUGAAAAUAAAAAUUCCCAAGUGCCGUCUUUUCAUCAUGCCAAAUAAACAAAUUUAAAUAAACAAACAUGCAGUAUGACCUGCAAUGCAGUAAUACACUUUUAAUAAUGUAUAUUUUGCUAUAGACAAAAUUCAAGGACCCUUUGGAUUUCUGAGUUAUUACUCUGCCAGUUUGAAGAGUGGGAGCAGAGAUGGCAAAUCACAGCCUUCCAAUCCUGCUUUUUCAACUGAAAAAGCCAUUUCUUCGGAUUGUCCUCAAAGGGGUUUUGAUGCAUCCUAUUGCAGUUUUUUCUACUAGAUGGGACAUACAGUACGCUUCAUAUGCACUCACCGAACACUCACUGAAGUAUAAUCGGAUAACAUGUCAUAAAUUAUUAAAAUUAUAAUUAUAUCUGUAUAUAUCCCAGUGCCUUAUAGAAAACACAGCUUUUCUACACACUGUGCUACCCAGAACAAUGCACGGCUUUCUGUCAGAUUUUAGCAAUAAUACAGAACACUCACAGGCAUGGACUGAUCAAAGAGAAAGAUAGAAGACAGGAGGACUUCAGACCUUCAGUUCCUGACUUCCGUCCCAGCAUGACUGUCUAAAUCACAGUCUCACUUGAACUGGAUAGACCCGCCAUGGGGAGAUGGAGAAGGCGGCUGGGUGGUGUCUCCUUAUCCCAGCAGCACAGAGUGAAAGAGGUCCACCACAGCACACUGGGAUCACCUUGCCCUCCCUCUUCCCUGCUACCCAACCUGUGACUUCAGAGCCAGACACCAGUGGUGGACAAAUAAACAGACAAAAGUGUGGGGAGAUAGAACCUGUAGGAAGCCCUGGUGCAGCAUACAACAAUUAUUGUUGAUUUAAGGAGCAUAUGGAAAUGUCAUUGUCAACAUAACUGGUUUUAACUAAAUAAAGUACUCAUGCCCAU